UCUUCUUUUGUUGUCAAGUCCUUUUGAUAAAUGGUCGGGCUGGGAGCGCUGGGAGCCUGGAGCCCGUCUGUGCCCGCACAAGGGGCGGGGGCCGGGGCUGGAGACCCGGUUUAGACCUGCGCAGCACCCGGAGCUGAACUGGGUACGCGUGGGGGUCAGAUCUGGGACCUGCCCUCGGCGUGCUUGCCCUUUCCUCUCUCACCACCCUACCCCCUUUCCUCCUGUCUCUGUCUCCCACUCCGCACGGGUACCGAGAACUUUCUGGGGUGAGUUUUAGAAUUUCCUCUCAGGGUUUAUUUUUCUGCGUUUUAAUUUUAUCCCUUGAUCCUUUAGAUUGGUCAACUUUAUGAGAUGGUAACUUGACUAAAGCUAGAUUGGAGAGGACAGAAGAGAAUGCGGUCUUGUGCAUUUGGGACUGGGUUUGUGUGCAUGUAAGAACACACCUGCACUCAAGGGGUUUUGUAGUGUCUCUGUUCGAAAACUGAGGAAGGUAAGUCGGUGAGACCGUGGGGGAGAUCACAUGUGAGGUUGUGAAGGUUGUUUGAUCAUUGGAGUGCGAGUCCCAGGUGCUGGUUUCUAAGGACCAAAGAUUCUAAGCUGGCUCUGCGUGUCUGUAAAGCCUCUCUUAUUCUGCGGGUGUGUCUGCCCGCGAUACUGCACGGCAGUCUAGGUAUCAGCUGGGGCCAACUGCAGUGCUCCCAAUGUCGCGAGCUCGGCCUCGGGCUGCUUGUCGCCCAGGCCUCCCAAACAGGCCUGGACACCGAAUGGGGCAGCGGCCAUAGCUAGGAAUGACCGCACGCGGGGGGGGGGGG
RNAcentral lists this long non-coding RNA (812 nucleotides) under Marmota monax (woodchuck). The record is from RNAcentral. Lineage: Eukaryota; Metazoa; Chordata; Mammalia; Rodentia; Sciuridae.